This 428-nucleotide ribosomal RNA is filed under the name Bacteroidota bacterium. Its description in RNAcentral is "Bacteroidetes bacterium partial 16S ribosomal RNA". It matches the Rfam family "Bacterial small subunit ribosomal RNA", at positions 355 to 776 of the family's 1533-position model. Lineage: Bacteria; Pseudomonadati; Bacteroidota. The record is from RNAcentral.
UAGGGAAUCUUCCGCAAUGGACGCAAGUCUGACGGAGCAACGCCGCGUGAGUGAAGAAGGAUUUCGGUUCGUAAAACUCUGUUGUAGAGAAGAACAGCGCAUAGAGUAACUGUUAUGCGUGUGACGGUAUCUAACCAGAAAGCCACGGCUAACUACGUGCCAGCAGCCGCGGUAAUACGUAGGUGGCAAGCGUUGUCCGGAUUUAUUGGGCGUAAAGCGAGCGCAGGCGGUCAAUUAAGUCUGAUGUGAAAGCCCCCGGCUCAACCGGGGAGGGUCAUUGGAAACUGGUUGACUUGAGUGCAGAAGAGGAGAGUGGAAUUCCAUGUGUAGCGGUGAAAUGCGUAGAUAUAUGGAGGAACACCAGUGGCGAAGGCGACUCUCUGGUCUGUAACUGACGCUGAGGCUCGAAAGCGUGGGUAGCAAACAGG